RNAcentral lists this ribosomal RNA (459 nucleotides) under uncultured bacterium. RNAcentral's name for it is "partial 16S ribosomal RNA". It matches the Rfam family "Bacterial small subunit ribosomal RNA", at positions 339 to 795 of the family's 1533-position model. The record is from RNAcentral.
CUACGGGAGGCACCAGUAAGGAAUAUUGCGCAAUGGAGGCAACUCUGACGCAGCCAUGCCGCGUGCAGGAAGAAGGCCUUAUGGGUCGUAAACUGCUUUUAUUUAGGAAUAAACCCCCGAACGUGUUCGGGGCUGACGGUACUAAACGAAUAAGCACCGGCUAACUCCGUGCCAGCAGCCGCGGUAAUACGGAGGGUGCAAGCGUUAUCCGGAUUGAUUGGGUUUAAAGGGUGCGCAGGCGGGCUAUUAAGUCAGUGGUGAAAUCCCGGGGCUCAACUCCGGAACUGCCAUUGAUACUGAUAGUCUUGAGUUUGGUUGAAGUGGGCGGAAUGUAGCAUGUAGCGGUGAAAUGCAUAGAUAUGCUACAGAACACCAAUCGCGAAGGCAGCUCACUAAGCCAAAACUGACGCUCAUGCACGAAAGCGUGGGGAUCAAACAGGAUUAGAUACCCUAGUAGUC